This 3913-nucleotide long non-coding RNA is filed under the name Chinchilla lanigera (long-tailed chinchilla). Its description in RNAcentral is "lncRNA (ENSCLAG00000022220.1)". Lineage: Eukaryota; Metazoa; Chordata; Mammalia; Rodentia; Chinchillidae. The record is from RNAcentral.
UUUAUCUUUAAAAAUCAAAAAAAAAAAAAAAAAGAAAGAAAACCCAAAACAGCCAAGAGAGAGCAAUAAAAAAAGAGGGAGUAGUGGAGUUUUAAAUCUUGGUCCCUAAGGGGCAGCAAACAAAAAUCCACACAAAGCAAAUGUGAAAUCCAUAAAGUAUCUGAAAGGAGAAGGAAAUGGUUCAGGAAAUUCAAAAGAAACCAAAGAGAAAAGAGGAGGAAAUAGAUACAGACCAAGAGUCCCAGACUGGCCGCUAAAGGGGCUGGGAGAAUCCCAGGUGGAGAUGGAGGCGUUUUCCGAGAGAGUAAGCCUGCGGUUGUUAGAAGCGGAGGAUGUGGCCUGCAGGGCGCAGCCCACGUGACAGAUGCCAGGUGACCGACAAUGCCUGGCCUAGGAGCUCAGCAGGAAAACUGCUCCUGCCCUACAAGGGCAGACUCCUGCCCAAGAGCCCGGAAGUAGCUCUUAGACAAAUCCCCAAGGACACCCAAGAGUGGAGGGAGGUACAUUCCCGACCGUUGACCGGGUUGUCAGGGUUGCAGUGGGUCAUGGGGCAUCCUGGAUUCAAAGGCAGUAAGUUUCGUGCAUGGAGCAGGAGCAGCGGACGGAGCCUCCCAGCAGCGCUUCAGAGGGGCUGUGAUUCCGUCAGUUUCACAGGCAUCAGUGAGAUAUCACUGCGACCUGCUCCCGUCCCAGAGCCAGGCUCCAUGGUCUUCUCUACCUUUUCCUGGGGACAAUGAAGAAUUCAAUGAAUAUAUGUGGCUUGGUUAUGCUUCUCUGUAAGCACCAGAGAAAGAUGGAGGAAGUCUGUUCUGGAGCUACCGUGCUCCCGCCGUGGGUAAUUAUUGCUUCUAUCUGCAAAACUAAGCAUUUCCUGCUGAUUUUCCACGUUGUUUGGAACAUUUUCCCCUUUGGAGAAAAUGGAAUCUGUGCGCGGAGGGCGGCCAGGCUGCGAACCUUUACUUCUCUUCUGUGUUCUCUCCCUGUGGUGCUGAACUCACCGCGUGCUCCCUGAAGGACCUACUCCUCGUCACAGAUCUUCAGGAGUUAAAUGCAUUUCUUCCCUCGUUACCUGCUACAAAAGUCAAAGUGGUAAGAACAGGCUGUUUUGAGGACUCUCUAGGGAGCGCUCGAAGCGUGGUCCCUAAAGCAGCAGUAGCAGCAUCAGCUGGGAGUGUGUCAGAGCUGCGGAUUUCCGGCACCACCCAGAGCUGCUGGAUUAGCAACUCGAAGGGUGGAGCCGGCAGUCUCGGUUACCAGCCCUCCAGGUGUUCUGACCCUUAGUCAGGGUUGAGCUCCUUGCUCUAGAGGACCGGUCUUCCUCCCUCUCACCCUUACUGCAGCCCAGGGGUCGGUGGGGACAAAUGGCUCUCAGUUCAGAAUAUUUGCUCCGGAAGUCUAGAAAGGUAAUGAAGUUUAGUAGAAAGAGCAUAGGCUGAGAUACACCUGGGUUAAAUUCCGGCUCUGCCCCUUAUUCCCUGCAUGUCUUUGAGCAUAAUGUUAGUAGUAGACAUCAUUCACCACACUGCAAGUCAGUUUCUUUAAUGCUUUCCAGAAAUGGGCUGUCCUGACAACAGAAUGAGCUCAUGGGUGAAAAAGUACCUCGUCCAAAACUUUACCACUUGAGGCUUGUGCACUUCCUCACGUUGUUCAGGCAUCAGCAGUAUUUCCACUAGGAAAACUUGGCACACACCUGUGAUCUCAGCAUUCUGGGAGGUGAAGCCAGGGGGAUCCCAAUUUGAAGCCCCUCCUGGGCAAUUUGGCAAGACUGUCUCAAAAUAAAAAAUAAACAAAGGCCUGGGGACACAGCUCAGUGCAAAGGCCCUGGAUUCAACCCCCAUUAUCACCACCACCAUUGCCACACACACACACACACACACACAUACACACAUACACAUCUUCCUAUAAAAAUAUUUACUGCUCAGAACCAAAUGUAUCUGAAAUAAUAACAUUAGCGUUAGACUUUAGUACAUUAUGGGUUAAAGACAAAUAACAGGCUUUUGUGUGCUGGUCUGGGAAUUUUAUUAGCCAUUUAUUUCUUCAUUAGUCAUGCCUUUAAAAAGCACAAUACAAUUUUCCUAUGGGGAAAUAUAUUCCAAGUUCCCCAAAUGCAAUUUACACAUGACUUUGUGACAUGCUCUGUUCAUUAGAUGUUUCUAAGCAUAUAUUAUAUCUUUAAUGCAAUCCAGAUAGUCAAGCUCAGGGAGCCAGGAGCUUGGAAGCUCCAUAAAAUGAGCAUCUUUCCUCAUACUAAUAAUAUAUUUUGAAACUAAGUAGAAAUCAAAGGAAAGCACAACUGUGAUUUUUGUACUGUUGUUGUUGUUGUUCUGACUGUACCCAUGUGAAAACGAAGAUGUCAUGCUGGAUAUGGUGGCACAUACAUGUAAUCCCACCAUUCCAGAGGCUGAGUCAGGAGGAUUGCUGCAAGUUUGAGGUCAGCCUGGGCUACAUAGUAAGUUCAAGGCCAGUUUACAAGAUGAGUGGUAUUGACUGUUCCUUAUAUGUCUAGAAAUAUGCCCAUUUUUGCUAUUAUUGUUUUUUAAAUGCAAGGGAGUGUUCACCAUCAAAGUCAGGGUAGUGGUUAAUUUUAGGGAGUGAAGUGAACCGGAUGUAAUGACAAGAGGCCACAUUGGACUUUAAAAUGGCUCUUUCCAGAGGAGCCUGGAGGCGCAUGACCUAGUGACAGCUUGGUGGCUUCCAGGAGCAGGUCAGGGCUGCAGGGAAAUGGUGGAUUAUGAAGUGGGAGGAGAACCUAGUGUAAUAACAGACAUUGCAGUAAUGUGAGAGUUAAUACCCUAAUACAGGGUCUGGGUGCCUGGUGUGGGAAUUCUCUGUACUCUCAGAUUUGUGCUAUAACUGGCCUUAAAGCCAGGCUCAGGGCACAUACCUAUAGUCCCAGAACUUUUGGAGGCUGGAAGAGUGCAAGUUCAAAUCCCACCUGGACAACUUACCAAGAACUGUCUUUAAAAAGGGGAUGCCAGUCUGGGGAUGUGGCUUAGCGGUAGAGUUCUUGCCUACCAUGCACAAAGCCCAGAGUUCUAUGCACACAAGGCCCCCACUAUUAUGCACACAAAAAAAUAAAAAUAAAAUAAAAUAAAAAAGGUAAAAUGGCUCUUCAUGUGUUCUGUAAUCUCUCUGGAGGUGCACUAUUGUUUAAUAAUUAUUUUUAACAUGUACCUAUACACUUUACACAGCCUCCUCUAUGUGUUUUUAAUACUGUAAUAAGAUAUUUGAAAUGUGAGUGGACCUAAAGCUAUCCAGCAGUGAGGAUUCCUGCAGUGGAUGCUUGAACCACACUGAAUCCAAGUGGAAGGCCUAACCUGAGAAGAUUUUGAUUCUGAUAGUGAGCAGGAGCCUCUCAAUUACUCAGUGUUAAGAUCUCCUAGAAAGAUUUUCUUUUCUGACAUGCAGGGGCCUGUUCUUUGGAAGUGGAGCCAUGGGAAACAUCCAGAAAGAUGUGGUUAGUUCUUCACCAAACGCUGGGCUGUUCUGAUGUUCUGUGUCUUAAUUCAGAUAUUACUGGGGGAAAAGCCUCUAAGUAUAUCAGUUACUGACUCAUAACCAUACUUUGCUCAAGGUUAUUUCUUCUAAGAUGAAAAUACGUGGCAUUUUUCCCCAAUGGGUGUGUGUAUGUGUGUUGUUUAUUAUUUCUCCAGAACAUCUGUACGUGAGCUCUGGCUGCGGGUUUGAGACUUAAGUUGGCUGCAGCUGUGUACUGGCUGUUAGAUUGCUUUAGCAGACACACCCAGAGUAUGGGUGUGGCUUUGAAAUACCCAGUGUUAUUUUACAAAACCUGCUGUGGUCAAUAGCUGAGCUGAGUCUGGAGGCUGACCUUCUCCUCCUCCUCCUACGAAGUAAUCAGGACUCUUAGUUAACAAGUAGCAGAAUCCAAGUUUAAACACCAAGGAGAUUUAUA